RNAcentral lists this ribosomal RNA (492 nucleotides) under uncultured bacterium. RNAcentral's name for it is "partial 16S ribosomal RNA". It matches the Rfam family "Bacterial small subunit ribosomal RNA", at positions 29 to 507 of the family's 1533-position model. The record is from RNAcentral.
AGUGAACGCUGGCGGUAGGCCUAACACAUGCAAGUCGAACGGCAGCACAGUAAGAGCUUGCUCUUACGGGUGGCGAGUGGCGGACGGGUGAGGCAUACAUCGGAAUCUACUUUUUCGUGGGGGAUAACGGAGGGAAACUUACGCUAAUACCGCAUACGACCUACGGGUGAAAGCAGGGGAUCUUCGGACCUUGCGCGAUUGAAUGAGCCGAUGUCGGAUUAGCUAGUUGGCGGGGUAAAGGCACACCAAGGCGACGAUCCGUAGCUGGUCUGAGAGGAUGAUCGGCCACACUGGAACUGAGACACGGUCCAGACUCCUACGGGAGGCAGCAGUAGGGAAUAUUGAACAAUGGGCGCAAGCCUGACCGAGCAAUGCCGCGUGAGUGAAGAAGGUCUUCGGAUUGUAAAACUCUUUUGUUGGGAAAGAAAAGAAGCGUAUGAAUACCCGCAUGUCUUGACGGUACCCAAUGAGAAAGCACCGGCUAACUUCGUG